CCUACGGGUGGCUGCAGUGGGGAAUAUUGGACAAUGGGCGAAAGCCUGAUCCAGCCAUGCCGCGUGUGUGAAGAAGGCCUUCGGGUUGUAAAGCACUUUCAGUGGGGAAGAAAGCCUUGGGGCUAAUACCCUCGAGGAAGGACAUCACCCACAGAAGAAGCACCGGCUAACUCCGUGCCAGCAGCCGCGGUAAUACGGAGGGUGCGAGCGUUAAUCGGAAUUACUGGGCGUAAAGCGCGCGUAGGCGGUCUGAUAAGCCGGUUGUGAAAGCCCCGGGCUCAACCUGGGAACGGCAUCCGGAACUGUCAGGCUAGAGUGCAGGAGAGGAAGGUAGAAUUCCCGGUGUAGCGGUGAAAUGCGUAGAGAUCGGGAGGAAUACCAGUAGCGAAGGCGGCCUUCUGGACUGACACUGACGCUGAGGUGCGAAAGCGUGGGUAGCAAACAGGAUUAGAUACCCGGGUAGUC
This 465-nucleotide ribosomal RNA is filed under the name Vreelandella stevensii. RNAcentral describes it as "partial 16S ribosomal RNA". It matches the Rfam family "Bacterial small subunit ribosomal RNA", at positions 338 to 795 of the family's 1533-position model. Lineage: Bacteria; Pseudomonadati; Pseudomonadota; Gammaproteobacteria; Oceanospirillales; Halomonadaceae. The record is from RNAcentral.